ACUCAAAUGAAUAGACGGGGGCCCGCACAAGCAGUGGAUUAUGUGGUUUAAUUCGAAGCAACGCGAAGAACCUUACCAGGGCUUGACAUCCUACCGACGGGGCAGAGACGCCCCGGUGCCCUUCGGGGAGGGUAGAGACAGGUGGUGCAUGGUUGUCGUCAGCUCGUGUCGUGAGAUGUUGGGUUAAGUCCCGCAACGAGCGCAACCCCUAUUGUUAGUUGCUACGCGAGAGCACUCUAGCGAGACUGCCGUUGACAAAACGGAGGAAGGCGGGGACGACGUCAAAUCAUCAUGCCCCUUAUGUCCUGGGCUACACACGUAAUACAAUGGCGCCCAACAGAGGGAAGCGAGGCCGCGAGGCGGAGCGAAUCCCCAAAAGGCGUCCCAGUUCGGAUCGCAGGCUGCAACCCGCCUGCGUGAAGUCGGAAUUGCUAGUAAUCGCGGAUCAGCAAGCCGCGGUGAAUACGUUCCCGGGCCUUGUACACACCGCCCGU
Molecule: ribosomal RNA, 494 nt
Filed under: uncultured bacterium
Lineage: Bacteria
Description: bacterial SSU rRNA
Rfam family: Bacterial small subunit ribosomal RNA
Source: RNAcentral